CCCGAGCGGCGAGACGGGAGGAGGCGGCGGGGCCGCCGGCGGCUCCAGUGCCCGGGGCGGGGGAGUCCGGUCCCGGCCCGGCUACCUGAGAGCGGCGCGGGGCUCGGGCGGCCUCAGUGCGCAGGUGCGCCAAGAGCAGCAGAAGUGACCAUGGAAGAGGCAGCGGGAGGGAGAAUCCAGAGCCCACUUGCCAGGAGUCAGUACAGGAGGAAAUGGGAGAGCUUGGAGGCAGAUGCCAUCCUAGAGAAAAAUCUUGAGAGCAAGUCUUUCAGCCACAAGAAACCAACCGACUGUUCCUAACUCCAAUUGCCAUGGAACUGUCCAGUACCAAAUUCUGUUCCUUGCAUUAAAGAAGCAUCAUCCCAUUCUUCAUGCUGUUUGAUUACCAGGGAGUCCCAGCAUGCCAGUGAUUCUGAGGAUGAUGCAUCUUUAUCUAACACCUCUCAUGAUGCACUUGCCCUUGGACCAGCCAGAUGUUGAAAACACUCCACAAGGGCUUCCAAGGAUGUUAGUAGGAAGCAGAAUAAAGGAGGUGCUUCUGGAGUCCAUUUCAGGCCUUGAUGAGUUAUGAAGAUGACAGAACGUUGGUUUUCCUGG
Molecule: long non-coding RNA, 597 nt
Organism: Trachemys scripta elegans
Lineage: Eukaryota; Metazoa; Chordata; Testudines; Emydidae
Exons: 4
Source: RefSeq, a predicted model, not a curated record